UACGGGGGGGGCAAGCGUUGUUCGGAAUUACUGGGCGUAAAGGGUUCGUAGGUGGCCAACUAAGUCAGACGUGAAAUCCCUCAGCUUAACUGGGGAACUGCGUCUGAUACUGGUUGGCUUGAGUGCAGGAGAGGAACACGGAAUUCCAGGUGUAGCGGUGAAAUGCGUAGAUAUCUGGAGGAACACCGGUGGCGAAGGCGGCGUUCUGGACUGCAACUGACACUGAGGAACGAAAGCCAGGGGAGCAAACGGG
This 253-nucleotide ribosomal RNA is filed under the name uncultured bacterium. RNAcentral describes it as "partial 16S ribosomal RNA". It matches the Rfam family "Bacterial small subunit ribosomal RNA", at positions 524 to 776 of the family's 1533-position model. The record is from RNAcentral.